Non-coding RNA from Pelobates cultripes (western spadefoot toad), 94 nucleotides. Lineage: Eukaryota; Metazoa; Chordata; Amphibia; Anura; Pelobatidae. The record is from the annotation of a GenBank genome assembly.
AAGGCAGAGGGGAGGAAGCCAGGAUGCAUUGUGGGAAUAUAAUGUGACUACAUUAUAUUCCCACAAUGCAUCCUGGCUUCCUCCCCUCUGCCUU